GACGGGUGAGUAACGCGUGGGCAACCUGGCCUGUACAGGGGGAUAACACUUAGAAAUAGGUGCUAAUACCGCAUAACGGGGGAAGCCGCAUGGCUUUUCCCUGAAAACUCCGGUGGUACAGGAUGGGCCCGCGUCUGAUUAGCCAGUUGGCAGGGUAACGGCCUACCAAAGCGACGAUCAGUAGCCGGCCUGAGAGGGCGGACGGCCACACUGGGACUGAGACACGGCCCAGACUCCUACGGGAGGCAGCAGUGGGGGAUAUUGCACAAUGGGGGGAACCCUGAUGCAGCGACGCCGCGUGGGUGAAGAAGCGCCUCGGCGCGUAAAGCCCUGUCAGCAGGGAAGAAAAUGACGGUACCUGAAGAAGAAGCCCCGGCUAACUACGUGCCAGCAGCCGCGGUAAUACGUAGGGGGCAAGCGUUAUCCGGAUUUACUGGGUGUAAAGGGGGCGCAGACGGCGAUGCAAGCCAGGAGUGAAAGCCCGGGGCCCAACCCCGGGACUGC
RNAcentral lists this ribosomal RNA (504 nucleotides) under uncultured bacterium. RNAcentral describes it as "bacterial SSU rRNA". It matches the Rfam family "Bacterial small subunit ribosomal RNA", at positions 100 to 624 of the family's 1533-position model. The record is from RNAcentral.